Molecule: ribosomal RNA, 756 nt
Filed under: uncultured bacterium
Lineage: Bacteria
Description: bacterial SSU rRNA
Rfam family: Bacterial small subunit ribosomal RNA
Source: RNAcentral
AGAGUUUGAUCAUGGCUCAGAAUCAACGCUGGCGGCGCGCUUAACACAUGCAAGUCGCACGAGAAAGUGGAGCAAUCCAUGAGUACAGUGGCAUACGGGUGAGUAACACGUGGAUCAUCUACCUCUUGAUGGGGAAUAACCCUGGGAAACCGGGGCUAAUACCGCAUAAGCCUGAAAAGGGAAAGCAGCAAUGCGUCGAGAGAGGAGUCCGCGGCCGAUUAGCUAGUUGGUAGGGUAAAGGCCUACCAAGGCAAUGAUCGGUAGCCGGCCUGAGAGGGCACACGGCCACACUGGCACUGAAACACGGGCCAGACUCCUACGGGAGGCAGCAGUGGGGAAUCUUGCACAAUGGAGGAAACUCUGAUGCAGCGACGCCGCGUGAGUGAUGAAGCCCUUCGGGGUGUAAAGCUCUUUCGGCAGGAACGAUAAUGACGGUACCUGCAGAAGAAGCUGCGGCUAACUACGUGCCAGCAGCCGCGGUAAUACGUAGGCAGCAAGCGUUGUUCGGAAUUACUGGGCGUAAAGAGUGUGUAGGCGGUUCUCUAAGUUCCGUGUGAAAUCUCCCGGCUCAACUGGGAGGGUGCGCGGGAAACUGGAGGGCUCGAGUAUGGGAGAGGAAAGCGGAAUUCCUGGUGUAGCGGUGAAAUGCGUAGAUAUCAGGAGGAACACCUGCGGUGUAGACAGCUUUCUGGACCAUCACUGACGCUGAGACACGAAAGCGUGGGUAGCAAACAGGAUUAGAUACCCUAGUAGUCC